Molecule: long non-coding RNA, 552 nt
Organism: Phascolarctos cinereus (koala)
Lineage: Eukaryota; Metazoa; Chordata; Mammalia; Diprotodontia; Phascolarctidae
Source: RefSeq, a predicted model, not a curated record
AACAGGAGUAGGUUAGUGUGUUGACCCUGAGCCUUGGAAUGGAUGAAAAUGGAAGGAAAAAGCAACCAAAGAGUAAACUCUUUUGCCUACAGAUACCAUGCUUAGAAUGACUGGAGGCGGAUGGAAUAAUUCAAAAAAUCUUGAAUGAGGGCCUGAAGCUGCUUCUAUCACUGGAAAUUCAAGAGUCAGAGCACGUUUGAAAGAAAUUCCUCAUCAUCCACAGCUAUCAUUUAGGACUAGCCUGAAGCGAUCUUCAAAGAAGUUUUGAAUCCCUGGAAUCUUCUGUAGGCUCUUCUCAAGCAACACCUUCUUUUCCAUUCUCUGUUUGCUAGCAUCUUCCUCCCACUAUUACUUUGGGUAUAUCUUGGAUUUGCUUGCCUGCAUAUGUUGUUAAACAAAAUGUUUCCCCUGCAAGCUCCUUAGGAGCACAUACUAUUUUAUUUUUGUCUUUGUACUUCCAGCAUCAUGCCUGGCACAUACUAGGCACUUAAUACAUUUUUUUUUAACCAGACCUGUGAUUUUCAUUGAUUGCUUCAAGGAAUUCCCAGUAAG